RNAcentral lists this long non-coding RNA (5763 nucleotides) under Homo sapiens (human). Its description in RNAcentral is "HSALNT0285131". The record is from RNAcentral. Lineage: Eukaryota; Metazoa; Chordata; Mammalia; Primates; Hominidae.
GUCUUCUGCGUCGCUCACGCUGGGAGCCGUAGACCGGAGCUGUUCCUAUUCGGCCAUCUUGGCUCUUCCCCCGGUAAGUAUUUUGCCACUCUAUCAAGAAAGUUAAGGACUCUCAAGCUUUUGGAUGCUUAGAAAAUACAUCAGAGGAGGACAGAAACUCAGAUAUCUCUGCAUCCUGAAUUCAUUGGUGGAAUUGCUACUGUGCCCAGUAAAAGCAUUUCAGUCAUGCAAGGAGAGGAUGUUAAGGUAAAGGAAUGAAACCGAAGACCAGAAAGUGGUAAAAAGCAGCAGUGAAGAAACCAAAACUAAAACAAACCAGCAAAGACCAUAUUCAGCUCACAGCCUUUCAGGAACUGAAGUAGAUCAUUGGCCCAGACUCUCCACUGAAUCCGAAGAAUGCUUUGCAGGGGAUGUUCAGAGGCUUACCUGAGAAUGAGAGAAAAAGAAAUGAGCAAAUGACUCCUGAUUAUCAGUGGGAGACAGGAAGCGACCAUUUAACAUCCAAAGGAAAACUCAGAGAUCUUUAAAAAGCAUCUAUAACCCACUGAAUAAGAUGGGUUAGAAGAUGAAGCUGCUGAGAAGUGCUGCAAAGCUGAUGGUAUUGAUAUCAACACAGACAUCAUAUGCUUUUGGGGAACAGUGCACUCAGUUGACACUUAUUCCUAAUAAAUUCAAACAGUGGAGAGUUCUCUAACUUAUUUUUAAAGUCUCUUUAAUCUAUACUUCCUAUUGUUGAAUGAUACAAAUUAGUUUCUUGAUCUCUGUUCAGAUACUGGGUUACAUACAAUUUUUGGCCAUUUAAGUAUACUGUAAAUCCCUCCAGAAAACUUUCUUAUAUUGUCUUGUGCUUCACAGCUAGUUUUCAGGCAUAUGUACUGCUUACAAAUUAGUUUGGUAUUUAAAAAGGAGUUGUGGCUUGAGUUACAAAGAUUUAAAGUUAAAGCAAUGCUCUUAAUAAUUUCUAUUUUCUCACUGAAUCAAUUCACACUAGACACCCCUUUAACUUCCAUAUACAUGAUCACUCACCUUCUGUCCAAAAAUCUAUUUUAGGAAAGAGCAGAAGUACAAGAGGACCUUGUAAACAAUACUACUAAUAUUAGUAGGAAUACGGCAAGGUUUAAGAGUGACAACUUUAGCUUCACUACUUUCAAGCUGCUUACUAGCUGGGACAAGUUGUAUAAAUUCUCCGAGCCCAUUUUCCUCAUUUAAAAAAGGGGCCAUAGACAUUUUUCCAAAGACAUACAAAUGGCCAACAAGCACAUGAAAAGAUGCUCAAUAUAGUUAACCAUUAGGGAAAUAUAAAUAAAAAACACAAUUUCAACCACAAUAGUACUACAUACACAUUAGAAUAAUUAUGUUAAAAAUAAAAAAAUAACAAGUGCUUUCAAGAAUGUAGAGAAAUUGGAACCUCUGCAUUACUGAUAGGAAUGUAAAAUGGUACAGUCUCUUUGGAAAGCAGUCUGAUAGUUCCUCAAAAGGUUAGACAUAGAAUGACCGAAUGACCCAGCAAUUCUACUCCUAGGUAUACACAAGAGAAAUGGAAACAUAUGUCCACACAUAAAUUUGUACAUGAAUGCUCACAGCAGCAUUGUUCAUAAGAGCCACAGAAUACAAAUGAUCAAAAUGUCAGUCAACUAACUAAUGAAUAAAUAAAAUGUGGUCGAUUAUUAUUUAGCAAUGAAAAGGAGUGAAGUACUUAUACAUGCAAUAACAAUGACUGAACCUUGAUAACACUAUGCUAAAUGUAAGAAGCCUAUCACAAAAGACCACAUGUUACAUAUUUUAUUCAUAUUAAAUAUCCAGAAUAGGCAAAUCUAUAGUUACAGAUAGUUGAUUAAUAACUACCUAAAGCUGAGGAUGGGGUGAGGCUGAGGGACUGAGGAGUGACUGUCAAUGGGUACAGAGUUUCUUUCUGGGGUGUUGAAAAUGUUAUGAAAUUCUGGUGAUGCUUGCACAACAUCGUGAAUAGACCAAAAAUCAUUGAAAUGGAUGUUUUAAAUUGCCAAUUGUACGGUAUAUGACUAAUAUAAUAAUAAAACUGUUAAAAUGAGGCAAGUAGUUGGGUUUAUCACAAAGAGUUGCUGGGAAAAUUAAAUAAAAUAAGCUAUAUAAAGUAUUUAAUAUAGUGCCUAGUACCCUGUAAGCAAUCAAUAAGUGACAGCUCCACCACCACCACCACUGCCACUACUACUACUACUGAUAUUAUCACUACAAAUAAUAAUAAUUAUUAUUAGUAGUAGAAUUAUUAUUAAAUAAGAUUAUAAUAAUAAUUGCUAUUCUUAGCAGUACUAGAAAUGUUAUUAAAUUAUACUAAGUAGAGUAAUAACAUUAUUAUUUGUAAUAGUAGAGCUGUUAUUAAAUAAUAAUUACUAUAGUUGUUAAUAUUAUUUAGCUGUCCUUAUUAGAAUGAUAGUUUUUUCCUAGGAUAGAGUUUGGGGUCUAGAUAAUGUUACCAUACCCAGUGUGCUAUAAUAAAAAGAAAAAACUUCGGAGUGAAACAGAUCUUGUUGAAAUCCCAUCUUUGUCACUUACUAAUUAUGUAACAUCAUGUAAGCUAUUUCACCUGUCUGUGGUUACGUUUCCUCAUCUGCAAAAUAAUUCAACAAUAUCUACUACUACUUUGAGCUCUUAUGAGUAAUAAGACACUGUAUGUGCAAAUACCCAUUUUAGUGCCUAGUACCUAGUAAAUUCUCAAAUAAUUUUGGUUUCAAAUAUAUGAAAUAAUGGUUUUGGCUUUUUAAAAAUAUGAUGAAACACCAUCAAACUUGUAUCAGUAUCUCAAUAAGACAUAAGCCUAAGCAAUGCCCCCAAACACCAAUGUAUGCAUAGAGGACUGGUUAACAAUCAUGCUAUUUAAGAGAUGUUCGUAAUCACAUUGUUAGAUUAUAACAGACACUAUUUAGUAAACUGUUAACUUUUUUCCCAUUUCAUUCUUAAAAAUCUCAAAACAAGCACAGCUGUUAUAGAAACUUAGACAAAGUAAGGGAACCAGUUUCAGUCUCACUCAAUACUGCAGCCAACUCUUAAGGAAAAGGCUUGGUCCAGAUUUUCCAAAGCUGUAAAUAAUGCACAUGGUAUAUGAUCUGGGCAAUAGAAUGGUUUUCAGUUUGGGGUAGCUCACGCUAAGCUUGUGCGUGUUAUCCUGAAUAAAUAGGUCUUUUGGAAACAACUCACUAACCCUAGAAUGUCUACAAGGGUGAGGAAAUUCUGCCAUGAACUAGCUCCCAUUACGUGUGCCAAGAAAACUGAGUUAGUUCAUAAUACCCUCCUUCUUACUCUCCAAAGUCUCCAUAGUGUUCAGUUAUUCAAGAUUACAUAAAAGUUUUUAAGGAGUUAUUUGAAACUAAGAGGGUAAGAAUAUGAUAUAAAAAAUUUAAAAAAUCCCUUGCUUCCACCAUUAUACACACAAUGCAUAUACCAAGUUAUGACUCCAGCUAAUGAAAUAACCAUGUAUUACUAUUUGCAUUAACAAUAAUUCUACUUCAUCCAUGUCCCUACAAAGGACAUGAACUCAUCCUUUUUUAUGGCUGCAUAGUAUUCCAUGGUGUAUAUGUGCCACAUUUUCUUCUUAAAGUAUAAAAAAAAAUAAAAAUAAAAAAAUAAAAAAUACAAUAAUUCUAGUUUGACAUUUAGCUCAGUUGUUGACUUGCUUUGGAUUGUUCAUUUUAUUUCAACUUUAGAAGGAGUUGAUUAAUUUUGUUAAACUUAAUUGAUUCAAGGGUAUCAUAAAUUUCCAUUUUUAGUAUUUGCCACAUUAAAGCAAAUGGUGGACAAUUUAUGAUUUCAAAAGGUUCUAUUCUUGGUAAUUCUUAAUUAUUUUCAGAUAAAUCUAGUAAUUGGGUUGAAGCUACAGAGUUUUGUCAUUGUUUUUAGUGAAAGCCUAAGCAUAUAGAACAUGAGGUCCUGCCACAAGAAAAAUCAUUUUCCUUUUUCCCUCUUUUGGCAGUUCUCAUAUUGCGAUGCAAUUCUACUUAUGCACAUCUGUUUCCCCACUAGAUUGAGAACUCCUUAAGGCCAAGAAAUUCAUUUAAUUCACCUCUGUAUUUUCAGGAGCUAAUAUGCUGGCAUCCAGUAAGAACUCAAUAAAUGUUUUUAGGUAAAUAAUGUUUUAUAAAAAACAUAAAUUUAGUUGAAUAGCUUAUUUCCUAAUUUGGGAUUAAACUGGGUAUUUGUUUGCCUUCUAGUCCUGAGUAUUGAAUUAAAUGUUAUAUUUUGAUAUAUUCUCUUGUAGAGUCUUUUACACUGGUCUCUUAAGGGAUCUGAUAUAAUUUUCAGUAGAAACUGAUAUGCUAGGGAAAUCGAUUUCUGAUGAAGAUUAACACUUCUUACAUAUAUAGAGACAGUUUGAGCCAAUAGCAUAUAACACACUCAUGAAAUAUGAAUUUGAAUAGCCUGUAAAAAUAAAAUAAAUUCUGAAUGAGAAUAGAAAAGAAAAAGAAUCUUUUAUACUGGAUCAGAUUUGUCUAGAAAUGAACUAUUGGCUUUUUGAAACAUCAAAAGUAACCCAAUUAGCUUGGAUGUUCUACUUGUCUGGGUUUUUCUGAUCUACCUUAGGCCCCCCAGGCCUCCUUUUUGAUUCACACAGAAAGAGAAAGUAAAUGUUUAUAUGUAUUUUCUGCAUAAUGCUGUCUAGCUUAUUUCAAGUUUUAAAAAACUUCCAAGAAGAAAAUUAUCGGCCAGGCUCGAUGGCUCAUGCCUGUAAUCCCAGCACUUUGGGAGGCCGAGGCUGGUGGAUCACCUGAGUUCAGGAGUUUGAGACCAGCCUGGCCAACACAGCGAAACCCAAUGUCUACUAAAAAUACAAAAAUUAUCUGGGCGUGGUGGCACCUGACUGUGAUUCCAGCUGCUUGGGAGGCUGAGACAGGAGAAUCACUUGAACCCGGGAGGCGGAGGUUGCAGUGAGUCGAGAUCAUGCCACUGCACUCUACCCCGUGUGACAGAGCAAGGCUUCAUCUCAAGAAAAAAAGAAAGAAAAAGAAAGAGAGAGAGAGAGAGAGAGAGAGAGAGAGAGAGAAAGAGAGAAAGAAAAGAAAGAAAGAAAGAGAAAGAAAGAAAGAGAGAGAGAGAGAGAAAGAAAGAAGGAAGGAAGGAAGGAAAGAAAAAGAAAGAAAGAAAGAAAAAGAAAGAGAAAGAAAGAAAGAAAGGAAGGAAGGAAAAGAAAAUUAUCAUCAUCAGUCAGAAGAACAGAGCACAUUUUGAAACUCACCUUUAAUUAAAAUUAGAUAGCAGAUCUCAAAUCUUUCAUGCAAAUUUGUUCAUGACUUUUUCAAAGCUUCCAGGAGUGUGUUACAGUUUGUAAAGCAUGCAUUUGGGUCUCAUGAAAAGAAGUAGUUUAUGAAAAAGGGUCUAUCUAGCAUGAAUAUAUUUCAAAUGGGGCACAUGUCCUUACAAUAUUUUAAUAAAUUUGUAUUAAAGGUGUAAAAUAAGUUUAUAUAUUGUAAUACAGUGUUGUUUUACUUAGAAAAAAUUAUUGAAAAUAUUUUUUUUUCAACUGCUGAGAAAAGAAUUGGCCCUGGUAUAGUCAAGGUUUAUUUCUCGAAUUUAAAGCUAAAUUUACCUUCAGAGAGAGAAAAAAUAAAGGAUAACAGGACCAAAUUGGAAUUUUGCACGUACGUGUUGUACAUUGUUUUAUCUUUUAUAUAUCAUACAUUACCACAGGGAACGUUAGUUGCAUAGACUUGUUUUGUGAGAGCAAUAGUUUUCAGAUUAUUUUGUUAAGAAUGUGUUUAUCAUCUCAAAAUAUAUGGUUAUUUGGUAAAGAUU